CUAAACGCCAGUGUGGUUCAGCUGCAGCCGGUGAGGAACGGAUGGAAUUCCCAACCUGGUUGUGGUGGUGGAGAUUAAGAUAUUCAGUGUCUUUCAGAAGUUGCUUGUGAGGUCUUUCUGUCAGUAAAUCCAGUCAUCCUUCAAAUGAAAGGAGCUCACUUCAGCAGAAGAGAAAAGUCGGUUCAGGACUUCUAGGCACAUGUAUGCCAGGCACUCAAUUUCAUUUGUUUAUUGACAACACUUGGAAAUUUAUCCUGGAACUCCAAAUCCCAAGAUGACCAUCUUUUGUAAGUUCUCCUGGUCAUUUUUAUGCUUGUAUACUUGACCGCCUAUCAUGAACCAUCUUGUUUAUAGUUUGUCUUUAAUGCUGCUGUUAUAGUUUCUACUAGUGAAAGUGUUGGUUUUUGUUCUGGGUGCACAUAAAAUGGCUGUUUUAAAUUUGCUUUCAAUUUUAAAUUCUUAUCAGUUAAUAACCAAAAAAAUAGGAGCUUAAUAGGAGUUCAAUUUAAAUUUGACCGUUUGAUGUUUUAAUGGUAACUGUUGGAUUUUUACGUAUUGCUACCUCUUAAGCCUACAGCACACUCACACCCAGCAGGCAUUAAUUAACAGAGCUGGAGAUUAUUGUGAAAUGACAGACAGAAGUUAACAUUAAGCAGAAAGUUUAUAAUAAAAACAGCGUGCUGAAUCUUGUUUUAGAAGCCAUUUCCUGUCAUUUAUUAAAUUAGACUCCUCUUUUAUUAGGAAUCUGGUAUAUAAACAGAACUUCAUUAAAUAACUGAAUUGAAAUACUGUUUUGAAAAUGAAUGGCUUCAGUCACUGUCACUAUCUGUAACAUCUUCUCAUUAAGUUAUUUUAAAUGGGCGUAAACAACUUCUGUUCCAUACAACAAAUCAAUCAAAUCAGAAGCGAUAUCAGUUCUGUGGCAUGCCAUUUUGCUGCAGCAGUAUACACUCUGCACAGUUUAAUAAGGAGGCUUCUAAUACUUAGAGUAGAGCAUCAUUUCUACAAUGAACCUUUUUUUGUUUUGUUCCUGUUUAUAAGUGACUGCAGACAUCAUACAUGUUGCGCAUAGCAGCCAUGCCAGGAGUUGGUGUCAUCUUGAAGAUUCCUGAUGUGACUGGAAUUGGAGCUUUUAACCUCAUGUCGAUCGGUACCUGUGCUCCAUGUGCUGUUAUUACAGGCAAUUUUACAUGGCAGUACAAAAAAACUGCUAGUGCUCUACUUUAAUGCACACCUUGUUUACAGCUUGGUCCAGUGUUGUCUGAUUACCUUGAUUGUUGCUGAACUUUAGAUGUUUGUGCAUUUCUGAAGACACUUAGAACACAUGAGCAAAGAAGGGUACAACCUAUCUGGAGACAUUCGACUAAGCUGCUUCUGUUACUAUUUGCAAUGAAAUAAAUAUGCUUACCUUGAAAGCUCUUGUUUCAUUUUCAUUCCGUGGUGUUGAACAUUGGUCCAUCAGGUCUUCAGACACCAGGUCCAGUCUUCUUUUUUGCUGGCUUAUCCAUGUGUUUGUUGUGAUCUUUGUAAUAACUAAUGGUAAUAUGUAAAUAAAGACGUUUUUACUAAUUGCCUAUUUCUAGGGCUUGGAACUUCAGUGUAUGACCCCAUGUAUAAUUAGGCAAGGACAACAGCCAUGGACUUUGCUCUGUUAAGUCCUGUUGCCUCCAGGAUUUACUAUCUUGAGCAGAUUAAAUAUUCAGAUUCUGUCCAGUUAUGUGAAGACUUCUUAGCAGAGGUAAAACCUGCAAAUAUUCUUAGUGUUAACAUGAAAGAAAUCUGUAUUGUUGUAUGUGCUCAAUUCUACAGACAGCUUUAUUUAGCUAGUGCUGUUUAGAUGUGCUUGAGAAUGGAGAAUGUCUGCAUAUGGUCAUAUCUGUGUAUAAUUAAGUUUGGCUUUUGUAAAAACUCCAGCCUGUUCGUGUGUUUCUAACUCAACGAUGUAGUUAACGUGGCAUACUUUCUGUUUAAUGAGCAGUUAUGUCGUCAUUGCUAAGUGUUUCAUCCUUCCUUGAUGUCACUUGUAUGAAGUGGUGAUCCUGGACAGCGCACUGUGGCUCUGUCUGAAGUGAGAGUUAAUGAAGGGCUUAUAGUGUUAACUGCCUUCCGUCGUGGUGUUUCGCUGCUGCAAUACGAAACUCGCUGGCCACUUCUUGCGUGGCGCGAUCAAAUGUGAACGUUAGACAGUCACUGAAUGCAGUGGCUCUUCCCAGGUCUCGGAGGAAGCCUGUGCUAGCUUUACCCCAGAAAAUGAAUAAUGCACUCAUACGGUCCCACUGUGAGAGCUUUUUGUAAAUGUACCACAUUCACUGGUGCUGGAUGAGCUCAUUAUUAAAUGCACAGCUUCCCAAAAAAUGAACGUGAAUUUGAAAAAUGUGAGAUUCAUUUGGCCUCAAACUAAAGACCUGAAUGGUCUAAAUCAGCUAACCGUUAAUUGUAGAGUUGGGGUGGGCAACCCUGAUCCUGGAGGGCCAGAUUCCUGCACAGUUUGGUGAUUUGCCUCCUCACACACAGGAUUCAACCUAUCAGCUAAUAGCCAGGUUAGGUCUGUGUACCUGUGCAGGAAUCCAGCCCUCCAAGACCAGGGCUGCCCACUCUGGCUGUAAAGGGUGGAUUAAAAUAAUCGGCUGAUUACUGUUACAAAACUGCCAUUAAGCAACGGCCAUCACACCAAGUAAGACAUCAUCAGUACUCAGAGGGCCAAUGGGCUUAAAGCUAAUUAAGCCACAGUCCGCAUUAAGCAGCACUAAGUAACGUUCCCCUUGCUUUGUUUACAUACUAAAUGCUGGGAAUGAUCAUUUUCCAUAGGUUAGGGUUGGGUUAGUAACGGUGCAACCUCCAAAAGAAGAGCCACCGGGAUUUACGUACGGCAGAGUUGGCACUAUGGGUGUGGAUACGAGGAGGCGAGGUUCCAAGUUCAAGUGCACACGCGAUUAUUUCAUUGCACAGAAAAACAAAAGAAAAACCGAAUCAAACAGAAAGAAAACGAAAGAUAAACUGGACAGUUACUUGAGGCGUCACCGCGAGGCUAAUCCUCAUCACGCAAGCUAUUCCCCAGCUGUUACAAGCAGCUAACAGCAUCACACCGGAUUACACCGCUCCUCCCACAGGUAGCUGAGAAGACCUAGCUGAAGAACACCGAGCGCUCUGAUCAUCGAAGCCCCGCCCACACUAAACUAAUAACCCGCUCGGAGGGACCCGGAUGUCCCAAGGCUCUAAUUUACACACACACACACACACACACACACACACACACACACACACACACACACACACCCAUCUACACAACUGCUGACCAGUCAUGUUUUGGGAUUUUAUCUGUUUAACCGUGUGUUGAUGGAGAUGCCAAGUCUUAAGUCCACUGGUACAAAACAUUUUGCCCACUGUCUGUUUUAUGUUUUAAUCCCUGAGGAUGAUGUUGGUGCUGCAGAGAGUGCAUCAUAAACGGACUCUGCAUGGACCUCAAUGAGGACCCUAAGGAUCUGGUGCAGGAGUACAUGGUGAGCGUGCAAGACUUCACUGAGGCCAACACACUAAGAGCCCUAGAGAGAGCGGUGGUGGGGAUCUUUGCUGUCAGAGAGACUCCCGGCAGUAACUCUUCUGAUGUGGGACUGAUCCUCGAGGGUGUGGUGGUGCUUCACGACCUGGAGAAUGUGGCCCUUGCAGCUGCCAUGCUGUUUGGAUUUUUUCCCUCUUAAAUAUGAGGGACCGUCGGAGCUGCACUGCACCCUGGAAGAUAUUCACAAGAUAAUCAUGGAGCUGGAUGCAGCCGAUCUAUCAAGAAAGGCCCAGAGCUUGAGAACUAAAGUCCUCCAGUGAGGAGAGCUGCGUUGUUUUUGCUCCACCCUUCCUGUAAAAGAAGGGCAGUUCUACAUUCGUGGACUGAGCAGUGUGGCUGGUUCUACAGACGUUAGUUUUAAUGACUGUGAGGUUCUCAGGCUGUUUGACUGCUGAUUUCUGGUUGCUGUGUUUCAGUUAUAAUUACUGUGCACUUCUCUACAUAUUUGAUAUCACUGCUCUGGUGAUUGUGUGUGAUGUGUGAAUAAUAAUGACUGUUGCGUCUGCAGAGAUUUGCCUUUUAUUUUUUCUAGUUGAAAACAUUUGACUGACGUUUUAAGUUGGUACAUUUAGACUGGGGACACCUGCUGU
This is a long non-coding RNA of Pygocentrus nattereri (red-bellied piranha), 4149 nucleotides long. RefSeq lists it as uncharacterized. Lineage: Eukaryota; Metazoa; Chordata; Actinopteri; Characiformes; Serrasalmidae. The record is from RefSeq and is a predicted model, not a curated record. The transcript is spliced from 4 exons.